AAGUCGUAACAAGGUUUCCGUAGGUGAACCUGCGGAAGGAUCAUUAUUGAAUAAUCUUGAUGGAUUGUUGCUGGCUCUUCAAAGGAGCAAGUGCACAUCUGUCAUUUUUAUCUUUCCACCAUGUGCACUAUGCAUAGACUUGACAUUUCUGUGAUCAAACUUUGUUUUUGAUUUUUGGAGAUUGCUGUUUGUGAUAACAGCUUUUUCUGUGUUCAAGUUCUAUGAAUUUAUAUACACGCCUAUGCAUGUCAAAGAAUGUUAUAAAGGGUUUUUAAAAUCCUAUAAAGUUAAAUACAACUUUCAGCAGCGGAUCUCUUGGCUCUC
Molecule: unclassified non-coding RNA, 324 nt
Filed under: fungal sp.
Lineage: Eukaryota; Fungi
Description: partial internal transcribed spacer region
Rfam family: Eukaryotic small subunit ribosomal RNA (bases 1-46)
Source: RNAcentral